This 301-nucleotide ribosomal RNA is filed under the name uncultured bacterium. Its description in RNAcentral is "partial 16S ribosomal RNA". It matches the Rfam family "Bacterial small subunit ribosomal RNA", at positions 509 to 807 of the family's 1533-position model. The record is from RNAcentral.
CAGCAGCCGCGGGAAUACGUAGGGUGCAAGCGUUAAUCGGAAUUACUGGGCGUAAAGCGUGCGUAGGUGGUGGUUUAAGUCCGUUGUGAAAGCCCUGGGCUCAACCUGGGAAUUGCAGUGGAUACUGGGUCACUAGAGUGUGGUAGAGGAUAGUGGAAUUUCCGGUGUAGCAGUGAAAUGCGUAGAGAUCGGAAGGAACAUCUGUGGCGAAGGCGACUAUCUGGGCCAACACUGACACUGAGGCACGAAAGCGUGGGGAGCAAACAGGAUUAGAUACCCCGGUAGUCCCUGUCUCUUAUAC